RNAcentral lists this ribosomal RNA (328 nucleotides) under uncultured eukaryote. RNAcentral's name for it is "partial 18S ribosomal RNA". It matches the Rfam family "Eukaryotic small subunit ribosomal RNA", at positions 1470 to 1796 of the family's 1831-position model. The record is from RNAcentral.
CCCUUAGAUGUCCUGGGCCGCACGCGCGUUACACUGAUGCAUUCAACGAGCUUAUAACCUUGGCCGAGAGGCCUGGGCAAUCUUGUUAACGUGCAUCGUGAUAGGGAUAGAUUAUUGAAAUUAUUAAUCUUGAACGAGGAAUUCCUAGUAAACGCAGAUCAUCAAUCUGCAUUGAUUACGUCCCUGCCCUUUGUACACACCGCCCGUCGCACCUACCGAUUGGAUGGUCCGGUGAAGCCCCGGGAUUGUGGUUCUUGCCGCUUUAUUGUGGCGUGACCGCGAGAACUUGUCUAAACCUUAUCAUCUAGAGGAAGGUGAAGUCGUAACA